AGAGUUUGAUCAUGGCUCAGGACGAACGCUGGCGGCGCGCCUAACACAUGCAAGUCGAACGAGAGAUGAGGAGCUUGCUCUUCAAAUCGAGUGGCGAACGGGUGAGUAACGCGUGAGGAACCUGCCUCAAAGAGGGGGACAACAGUUGGAAACGACUGCUAAUACCGCAUAAGCCCACAGCUCGGCAUCGAGCAGAGGGAAAAGGAGUGAUCCGCUUUGAGAUGGCCUCGCGUCCGAUUAGCUAGUUGGUGAGGUGACGGCCCACCAAGGCGACGAUCGGUAGCCGGACUGAGAGGUUGAACGGCCACAUUGGGACUGAGACACGGCCCAGACUCCUACGGGAGGCAGCAGUGGGGAAUAUUGCACAAUGGGGGAAACCCUGAUGCAGCGACGCCGCGUGGAGGAAGAAGGUCUUCGGAUUGUAAACUCCUGUUGUUGAGGAAGAUAAUGACGGUACUCAACAAGGAAGUGACGGCUAACUACGUGCCAGCAGCCGCGGUAAAACGUAGGUCACAAGCGUUGUCCGGAAUUACUGGGUGUAAAGGGAGCGCAGGCGGGAGAACAAGUUGGAAGUGAAAUCCAUGGGCUCAACCCAUGAACUGCUUUCAAAACUGUUUUUCUUGAGUAGUGCAGAGGUAGGCGGAAUUCCCGGUGUAGCGGUGGAAUGCGUAGAUAUCGGGAGGAACACCAGUGGCGAAGGCGGCCUACUGGGCACCAACUGACGCUGAGGCUCGAAAGUGUGGGUAGCAAACAGGAUUAGAUACCCUGGUAGUCCACACCGUAAACGAUGAUUACUAGGUGUUGGAGGAUUGACCCCUUCAGUGCCGCAGUUAACACAAUAAGUAAUCCACCUGGGGAGUACGACCGCAAGGUUGAAACUCAAAGGAAUUGACGGGGGCCCGCACAAGCAGUGGAGUAUGUGGUUUAAUUCGACGCAACGCGAAGAACCUUACCAAGUCUUGACAUCCCUUGACGAUACUGGAAACAGUAUUUCUCUUCGGAGCAAGGAGACAGGUGGUGCAUGGUUGUCGUCAGCUCGUGUCGUGAGAUGUUGGGUUAAGUCCCGCAACGAGCGCAACCCUUAUGGUCAGUUACUACGCAAGAGGACUCUGGCCAGACUGCCGUUGACAAAACGGAGGAAGGUGGGGAUGACGUCAAAUCAUCAUGCCCUUUAUGACUUGGGCUACACACGUACUACAAUGGCGUUAAACAAAGAGAAGCAAGACCGCGAGGUGGAGCAAAACUCAGAAACAACGUCCAGUUCGGACUGCAGGCUGCAACUCGCCUGCACGAAGUCGGAAUUGCUAGUAAUCGUGGAUCAGCAUGCCACGGUGAAUACGUUCCCGGGCCUUGUACACACCGCCCGUCACACCAUGAGAGCCGGGGGGACCCGAAGUCGGUAGUCUAACCGCAAGGAGGACGCCGCCGAAGGUAAAACUGGUGAUUGGGGUGAAGUCGUAACAAGGU
This 1467-nucleotide ribosomal RNA is filed under the name metagenome. RNAcentral's name for it is "bacterial SSU rRNA". It matches the Rfam family "Bacterial small subunit ribosomal RNA". The record is from RNAcentral.